RNAcentral lists this ribosomal RNA (379 nucleotides) under uncultured bacterium. RNAcentral describes it as "bacterial SSU rRNA". It matches the Rfam family "Bacterial small subunit ribosomal RNA", at positions 521 to 896 of the family's 1533-position model. The record is from RNAcentral.
UAAUACGGAGGGGGCAAGCGUUGUCCGGACUCACUGGGCGUAAAGGGUGCGCAGGCGGCCCGGUGCGUCAGCACUGAAAGCGCUCGGCUUAACCGAGCGAGGCGUGCUGAUACGACCGGACUUGAGGCUCUGAGAGGGUGGCGGAACUCCUGGUGUAGUGGUGAAAUGCGUAGAGAUCAGGAAGAACACCCGUGGCGCAAGCGGCCACCUGGCAGAGACCUGACGCUGAGGCACGAAAGCGUGGGGAGCGAACCGGAUUAGAUACCCGGGUAGUCCACGCCGUAAACGAUGUCGACUGGGGGUGUGCGAGCCGUUACGGCUGGUGCGUCCCGAAGCUUACGCGCAAGUCGACCGCCUGGGAACUACGAGCGCAAGCUUA